GAUGAACGCUGGCGGCGUGCCUAAUACAUGCAAGUCGAGCGAACGGACGAGAAGCUUGCUUCUCUGAUGUUAGCGGCGGACGGGUGAGUAACACGUGGAUAACCUACCUAUAAGACUGGGAUAACUUCGGGAAACCGGAGCUAAUACCGGAUAAUAUUUUGAACCGCAUGGUUCAAAAGUGAAAGACGGUCUUGCUGUCACUUAUAGAUGGAUCCGCGCUGCAUUAGCUAGUUGGUGAGGUAACGGCUUACCAAGGCAACGAUGCAUAGCCGACCUGAGAGGGUGAUCGGCCACACUGGAACUGAGACACGGUCCAGACUCCUACGGGAGGCAGCAGUAGGGAAUCUUCCGCAAUGGGCGAAAGCCUGACGGAGCAACGCCGAGUGAGUGAUGAAGGUCUUCGGAUCGUAAAACUCUGUUAUUAGGGAAGAACAUAUGUGUAAGUAACUGUGCACAUCUUGACGGUACCUAAUCAGAAAGCCACGGCUAACUACGUG
This 497-nucleotide ribosomal RNA is filed under the name uncultured bacterium. Its description in RNAcentral is "partial 16S ribosomal RNA". It matches the Rfam family "Bacterial small subunit ribosomal RNA", at positions 28 to 507 of the family's 1533-position model. The record is from RNAcentral.